RNAcentral lists this ribosomal RNA (1239 nucleotides) under Sphaeniscus atilius. RNAcentral describes it as "partial 16S ribosomal RNA". The record is from RNAcentral. Lineage: Eukaryota; Metazoa; Arthropoda; Insecta; Diptera; Tephritidae.
UGCAAAUCAAUAUAAAUUGAAUAAAUUAUAAUUUAUUUAUUAAUUUUUAUUUUUUUUUAUUAUUUUAAUUAGUAUUAAAAAUAUUUAUAUAAUUAAUUUGUUUUAGUAAUUAAUUUGAAAAAAUAAAUUUUAUAAUAGUUAAUUUGUAUUGUAAAUGAAAAUUGAAAUAUAUUGAAAAAUUUUUAUUUUAAAAGAAAAAUUUAUUAUUUGUACCUUGUGUAUCAGGGUUUAUUAAAUAAUUAUUAAAAAUUUAAUGAUCUCGAUUUUAUAAGAGUUAAUAAUUUAUUAUAGUUAAUGUUUUAUAAUUAUUAUUUAUUUAUUAUUAGAAAUGAAAUGUUAUUCGUUUAUAAAUAUAUCUAGUUUUUUUAGAAAUAAAUUUAAUUUAUUAGUUUUAAAUUUUGUUUAUUAAUUUAUUAAUAUAUAAAUUUUAAAAUUAAAAUAUUUUAAGGGAUAAGCUUUAAAAUAAAUUUUUAAAAAUUAAAUAAAAUUUAUUAAAAAUAUAUGCUUAGAAUUAGUAAUUAUUUAUAAAUUUGUUAUAAAUUAUUUUAUAAAUUUAUAUAUUUUAUUAAAAUUUUAAUUUUUUUUUUAUAAAAAUUUUUUUUGUAAUUUUAUAUAAAAAUAAAUAAUGAUAAAAUUAGUAUAUAUAUAUAUAUAAUUAUGUAAAUAUAAUAAAAAAUGAUAAGUUUAUAUAAAGAACUCGGCAAAUAUAUUACUCGCCUGUUUAACAAAAACAUGUCUUUUUGAGUUAUUUUUAAAGUCUAACCUGCCCAAUGAAUAAUAUUUUAAAUGGCCGCAGUAUAUUGACUGUGCAAAGGUAGCAUAAUCAUUAGUCUUUUAAUUGAAGGCUUGAAUGAAUGGUUGGACGAAGUAUAAUCUGUUUCAUAUAAAUUUAUUAUAGAAUUUUAUAUUUUAGUAAAAAAGCUAAAAUUUUAUUAAAAGACGAGAAGACCCUAUAAAUCUUUAUAAUCUUAUAUAUUUUAGUUUUUUUGAAAAAUUUUAUUAUUAUAAAUUAAAUUAUUUUGUUGGGGUGAUGUUAAAAUUUAAUAAACUUUUAAUAAAAAAAAUCAUUAAUUUAUGAUUUAUUGAUCCAUUAUUAAUGAUUAAAAAAAUAAGUUACUUUAGGGAUAACAGCGUAAUUUUUUUGGAGAGUUCUUAUUGAUAAAAAAGUUUGCGACCUCGAUGUUGGAUUAAGAUAAAAUUUUAGGUGUAGUAGCUUAAAUAAUAAGUCUGUUCGACUUU